UACAGAGACUGCAAGCGUUAUUCGGAUUCACUGGGCGUAAAGGGUGCGCAGGCGGCCGAGUGUGUGAGGCAUGAAAGCCCGGGGCUUAACCCCGGAAUUGCACCUCAAACUACACGGCUAGAGCAUUGGAGAGGGUAGCAGAAUUCAUGGUGUAGCAGUGAAAUGCGUAGAUAUCAUGAGGAAUACCAGAGGCGAAGGCGGCUACCUGGACAAUUGCUGACGCUCAGGCACGAAAGCGUGGGGAGCAAAAGGG
This 253-nucleotide ribosomal RNA is filed under the name uncultured bacterium. Its description in RNAcentral is "partial 16S ribosomal RNA". It matches the Rfam family "Bacterial small subunit ribosomal RNA", at positions 524 to 776 of the family's 1533-position model. The record is from RNAcentral.